Molecule: non-coding RNA, 190 nt
Organism: Firmicutes bacterium CAG:102
Lineage: Bacteria; Bacillati; Bacillota
Rfam family: 6S / SsrS RNA
About the family: E. coli 6S RNA was the first non coding RNA to be sequenced, but its function was unknown until recently. It consists of 184 nucleotides that fold into an extended hairpin structure with a large single-stranded internal bulge.
Source: Rfam
GAAAUCCUGAAAUGCACGACAACUUGCUAUAUUUGAACCUACAUUACUGACUCGGGAUUCCUAUAAACAGCGGAUAUGUCAGGCCCCAAGAUAAUUCCCUUUGGGCGGGGGAAGGCAGAUUCCGAGGUUGCGGAAACCCACCUGGCUUAGGCUAGGUGUCAAGGGGCAAGACCGGCAUUUCGGGGUUAUU